UGGGGAAUAUUGGGCAAUGGGCGAAAGCCUGACCCAGCAACGCCGCGUGAAGUAUGAAGGCCUUCGGGUUGUAAACUUCUUUGAUCAGGGAAGAAACAAAUGACGGUACCUGAAAAACAAGCCACGGCUAACUACGUGCCAGCAGCCGCGGUAAUACGUAGGUGGCGAGCGUUAUCCGGAUUUACUGGGUGUAAAGGGCGUGCAGGCGGGCUGAUAAGUCAGAUGUGAAAUCCCCGAGCUUAACUCGGGAACUGCAUCUGAUACUGUUGGUCUUGAGUGCUGGAGAGGAUAGUGGAAUUCCUAGUGUAGCGAUAAAAUGCGCAGAUAUUAGGAGGAACACCAGUGGCGAAGGCGGCUAUCUGGACAGUAACUGACGCUGAGGCGCGAAAGCGUGGGUAGCAAACAGG
This 407-nucleotide ribosomal RNA is filed under the name Verrucomicrobiota bacterium. Its description in RNAcentral is "Verrucomicrobia bacterium partial 16S ribosomal RNA". It matches the Rfam family "Bacterial small subunit ribosomal RNA", at positions 355 to 776 of the family's 1533-position model. Lineage: Bacteria; Pseudomonadati; Verrucomicrobiota. The record is from RNAcentral.